GGGGACGUAAAGGUUUCGACAGGGGUGUUGAAGCAGGAUAAGCGAGCGGCGGUUGGUCAGUCCGCCUAAAACAAGACCACCUAAAUAUAAAGGCUAAAAGACCUAAUACUUUCGCAAUCGCAGCAUAAGUCUGCACCGCGCGUCAGCCUAAGUUUACCCGUAGGCUCAGGUACUGGCGUCGACUAUACGGGGAACCCUUGUGUGGACUCCCGUAAGCACAAGGCCUAACGGGAUAUAUGAUGCGGAAGCUUGUUAAUGGGCGUCCGUGGAUUCGAAAUACCAAAUCAUUAACUGCGCUCGGAGAAAAUCCUGGGGAUAUGCUUUUGGACGCGAGUUCGACUCUCGCCGUCUCCACCA
Molecule: transfer-messenger RNA, 357 nt
Filed under: Bacillota bacterium
Lineage: Bacteria; Bacillati; Bacillota
Rfam family: transfer-messenger RNA
About the family: Bacterial tmRNA, also known as 10Sa RNA or SsrA, is named for its dual tRNA and mRNA-like properties. Its role is to liberate the mRNA from a stalled ribosome.
Source: RNAcentral